UACGUAGGUGGCGAGCGUUGUCCGGAAUUAUUGGGCGUAAAGGGUGCGUAGGCGGCUCUUUAAGUGAGGUGUGAAAACCCUGGGCUUAACUCAGGGAUGGCACUUCAAACUGGGGAGCUAGAGUGCAGGAGAGGAAAGCGGAAUUCCCAGUGUAGCGGUGAAAUGCGUAGAGAUUGGGAGGAACACCAGUGGCGAAGGCGGCUUUCUGGACUGUAACUGACGCUGAGGCACGAAAGCGUGGGGAGCAAACAGG
Molecule: ribosomal RNA, 253 nt
Filed under: uncultured bacterium
Lineage: Bacteria
Description: partial 16S ribosomal RNA
Rfam family: Bacterial small subunit ribosomal RNA
Source: RNAcentral